Molecule: ribosomal RNA, 837 nt
Filed under: uncultured Vibrio sp.
Lineage: Bacteria; Pseudomonadati; Pseudomonadota; Gammaproteobacteria; Vibrionales; Vibrionaceae
Description: bacterial SSU rRNA
Rfam family: Bacterial small subunit ribosomal RNA
Source: RNAcentral
ACACAUGCAAGUCGAGCGGUAACAGGAAUUAGCUUGCUAAUCCGCUGACGAGCGGCGGACGGGUGAGUAAUGCCUGGGAAUAUGCCUUAGUGUGGGGGAUAACUAUUGGAAACGAUAGCUAAUACCGCAUAAUGUCUUCGGACCAAAGAGGGGGAUCUUCGGACCUCUCGCGCUAAGAUUAGCCCAGGUGAGAUUAGCUUGUUGGUGAGGUAAGAGCUCACCAAGGCGACGAUCUCUAGCUGGUCUGAGAGGAUGAUCAGCCACACUGGAACUGAGACACGGUCCAGACUCCUACGGGAGGCAGCAGUGGGGAAUAUUGCACAAUGGGCGAAAGCCUGAUGCAGCCAUGCCGCGUGUAUGAAGAAGGCCUUCGGGUUGUAAAGUACUUUCAGUCGUGAGGAAGGGUGUGUAGUUAAUAGCUGCAUAUCUUGACGUUAGCGACAGAAGAAGCACCGGCUAACUCCGUGCCAGCAGCCGCGGUAAUACGGAGGGUGCGAGCGUUAAUCGGAAUUACUGGGCGUAAAGCGCAUGCAGGUGGUUCAUUAAGUCAGAUGUGAAAGCCCGGGGCUCAACCUCGGAACCGCAUUUGAAACUGGUGAACUAGAGUGCUGUAGAGGGGGGUAGAAUUUCAGGUGUAGCGGUGAAAUGCGUAGAGAUCUGAAGGAAUACCAGUGGCGAAAGCGGCCCCCUGGACAGACACUGACACUCAUAUGCGAAAGCGAUGGGGAGCAGACAGGAUUAGAUACCCUGGUAGUCCACGCCCUCACACGAUGUCUACUUGCACGUUGUGGUCUUGAGCCGUCGGCUUUCGGAGCUAACGCGUUAAGUAGACCGCCU